AUUGAACGCUGGCGGCAGGCCUAACACAUGCAAGUCGAGCGAGCCGCGCACGGGAGAGUAAUGUAUGGGGACUGCCCGAUAGGGGGGGAUAACCACUGGAAACGGUGGCUAAUACCGCAUACUAUCGGAUAACCCAUAGUGGAUUAGCUAGUAGGUGGGGUAAGGGCUCACCUAGGCGACGAUCUCUAGCUGGUCUGAGAGGAUGCUCAGCCACACUGGGACUGAGACACGGCCCAGACUCCUACGGAGGCAGCAGUGGGGAAUGUUGGACAAUGGGGGAAAGCCUGAUCCAGCCAUGCCGCGUGUAUGAUGAAGGCCUUAGGGUUGUAAAGUACUUUCGGCAGAGAAGCGGUAUCCGCAGAAGAAGCACCGGCUAACUCCGUGCCAGCCGCCGCGGUAAUUC
This 403-nucleotide ribosomal RNA is filed under the name uncultured bacterium. RNAcentral describes it as "partial 16S ribosomal RNA". It matches the Rfam family "Bacterial small subunit ribosomal RNA", at positions 30 to 526 of the family's 1533-position model. The record is from RNAcentral.